UACGAGUGCUUCAAGCGUUAUCCGGAAUCAUUGGGCGUAAAGGGUGUGUAGGUGGUUAUAUUAGUCUUGCGUUAAAUCUGCCGGCUCAACCGGGAGGCUGCGUGGGAAACGGUAUAACUUGAGGACGGGAGAGGUUUCUGGAACUCAUAGUGUAGCGGUGAAAUGCGUUGAUAUUAUGGGGAACACCAAAAGCGAAGGCAAGAAACUGGCCCGCUCCUGACACUGAAACACGAAAGCGUGGGUCGCGAAUGGG
RNAcentral lists this ribosomal RNA (253 nucleotides) under uncultured bacterium. RNAcentral describes it as "partial 16S ribosomal RNA". It matches the Rfam family "Bacterial small subunit ribosomal RNA", at positions 524 to 776 of the family's 1533-position model. The record is from RNAcentral.